GGUGGCUCAGUGAUAGAGCACUUGCCUUGCAUGCAUGAGGUCCUGGGUUCGAUUCCUCAGCACCA
This 65-nucleotide transfer RNA is filed under the name Dipodomys ordii (Ord's kangaroo rat). It matches the Rfam family "tRNA". From Rfam's summary of the family: Transfer RNA (tRNA) molecules are approximately 80 nucleotides in length. The record is from Rfam by way of RNAcentral. Lineage: Eukaryota; Metazoa; Chordata; Mammalia; Rodentia; Heteromyidae.